This 350-nucleotide ribosomal RNA is filed under the name uncultured bacterium. Its description in RNAcentral is "partial 16S ribosomal RNA". It matches the Rfam family "Bacterial small subunit ribosomal RNA", at positions 338 to 686 of the family's 1533-position model. The record is from RNAcentral.
CCUACGGGAGGCAGCAGUGAGGAAUAUUGGUCAAUGGCCGGAAGGCUGAACCAGCCAAGCCGCGUGAGGGAGGAAGGCGCAGAGCGUCGCAGACCUCUUUUGCCGGGGGACAAAAGGCCGGACUCGUCCGGUCCUGAGGGUACCCGGAGAAAAAGCAUCGGCUAACUCCGUGCCGGCAGCCGCGGUAAUACGGAGGCGCCGAGCGUUAUCCGGAUUCAUGGGGUUUAAGGGUGCCGCAGGCGGGCCUUUAAGCCGGCGGUGAAAUCGGGGGGUUAAACCCCGCCGCGCCGGCGGAACUGGGGGCCUUGAGUGCGGCGGAGGCAUGCGGAAUGCGCGGUGUAGCGGUGAAA